UACGUAGGCAGCGAGCGUUGUUCGGAGUUACUGGGCGUAAAGGGUGUGUAGGCGGUCCUCUAAGUUUGGUGUGAAAUCUCCCGGCUUAACCGGGAGGGUGCGCCGAAAACUGGAGGGCUAGAGUGCGGGAUGGGAGAGUAGAAUUCCUGGUGUAGCGGUGAAAUGCGUAGAUAUCAGGAGGAACACCGGUGGCGAAGGCGGGUCUCUGGGCCGAUACUGACGCUGGAGGAGCGAAAGCGUGGGGAGCGAACAGG
RNAcentral lists this ribosomal RNA (254 nucleotides) under uncultured bacterium. RNAcentral's name for it is "partial 16S ribosomal RNA". It matches the Rfam family "Bacterial small subunit ribosomal RNA", at positions 524 to 776 of the family's 1533-position model. The record is from RNAcentral.